UGAGAGGGAACGGAAUUCGGAACUGAAGCCUCUCAUAAGUCUCGGCGUUCUGAUGACGCGCCCAACGGUUCACUUUUUACAGUUCCGCGGAAGAGGCACCAGUGGCCCUCGAUUGUGCGCGUCUCGUGAUUAAAUUCUAGUUAGCGAGAUUAGUAGUUCGAACUAGUGCCGUGUCGUGUGCGUGUGUGAAAUUCUGCCGUGCAUGUGCGUUCCAGAAAUCCUGCUCUGCAUCCACCGCCACGCUCGUCAAAGACGGCCCGAUCUACCGGGGACCAGCUACCGCUU
Long non-coding RNA from Culex quinquefasciatus (southern house mosquito), 285 nucleotides. RefSeq lists it as uncharacterized. The transcript has 3 exons. NCBI's taxonomy places the organism in Eukaryota, Metazoa, Arthropoda, Insecta, Diptera, Culicidae. The record is from RefSeq and is a predicted model, not a curated record.